CGUGGGCAAUCUGCCCUGCACUUCGGGAUAAGCCUGGGAAACUGGGUCUAAUACCGGAUAGGACCUCAAGACGCAUGUCUUCUGGUGGAAAGCUUUUGCGGUGUGGGAUGGGCCCGCGGCCUAUCAGCUUGUUGGUGGGGUGACGGCCUACCAAGGCGACGACGGGUAGCCGGCCUGAGAGGGUGUCCGGCCACACUGGGACUGAGAUACGGCCCAGACUCCUACGGGAGGCAGCAGUGGGGAAUAUUGCACAAUGGGCGCAAGCCUGAUGCAGCGACGCCGCGUGGGGGAUGACGGCCUUCGGGUUGUAAACCUCUUUCACCAUCGACGAAGGUCCGGGUUUUCUCGGAUUGACGGUAGGUGGAGAAGAAGCACCGGCCAACUACGUGCCAGCAGCCGCGGUAAUACGUAGGGUGCGAGCGUUGUCCGGAAUUACUGGGCGUAAAGAGCUCGUAGGUGGUUUGUCGCGUUGUUCGUGAAAUCUCACGGCUUAACUGUGAGCGUGCGGGCGAUACGGGCAGACUAGAGUACUGCAGGGGAGACUGGAAUUCCUGGUGUAGCGGUGGAAUGCGCAGAUAUCAGGAGGAACACCGGUGGCGAAGGCGGGUCUCUGGGCAGUAACUGACGCUGAGGAGCGAAAGCGUGGGGAGCGAACAGGAUUAGAUACCCUGGUAGUCCACGCCGUAAACGGUGGGUACUAGGUGUGGGUUUCCUUCCUUGGGAUCCGUGCCGUAGCUAACGCAUUAAGUACCCCGCCUGGGGAGUACGGCCGCAAGGCUAAAACUCAAAGGAAUUGACGGGGGCCCGCACAAGCGGCGGAGCAUGUGGAUUAAUUCGAUGCAACGCGAAGAACCUUACCUGGGUUUGACAUGCACAGGACGCGUCUAGAGAUAGGCGUUCCCUUGUGGCCUGUGUGCAGGUGGUGCAUGGCUGUCGUCAGCUCGUGUCGUGAGAUGUUGGGUUAAGUCCCGCAACGAGCGCAACCCUUGUCUCAUGUUGCCAGCGGGUAAUGCCGGGGACUCGUGAGAGACUGCCGGGGUCAACUCGGAGGAAGGUGGGGAUGACGUCAAGUCAUCAUGCCCCUUAUGUCCAGGGCUUCACACAUGCUACAAUGGCCGGUACAAAGGGCUGCGAUGCCGUAAGGUUAAGCGAAUCCUUUUAAAGCCGGUCUCAGUUCGGAUUGGGGUCUGCAACUCGACCCCAUGAAGUCGGAGUCGCUAGUAAUCGCAGAUCAGCAACGCUGCGGUGAAUACGUUCCCGGGCCUUGUACACACCGCCCGUCACGUCAUGAAAGUCGGUAACACCCGAAGCCAGUGGCCUAACC
Molecule: ribosomal RNA, 1324 nt
Filed under: Mycobacterium avium
Lineage: Bacteria; Bacillati; Actinomycetota; Actinomycetes; Mycobacteriales; Mycobacteriaceae
Description: bacterial SSU rRNA
Rfam family: Bacterial small subunit ribosomal RNA
Source: RNAcentral